Molecule: long non-coding RNA, 1056 nt
Filed under: Parus major (Great Tit)
Lineage: Eukaryota; Metazoa; Chordata; Aves; Passeriformes; Paridae
Description: lncRNA (ENSPMJG00000012340.1)
Source: RNAcentral
GGAGCGUGGCCAUCUGUCAUCAAGGCUGAAAUUUGUUGAGUUUCCAGAGAAAUCUUUUUAGGAGCAGGGAAGUGACUGGAUCCCCACGGUUCAUCCCAGACAGGCAUGUUUGGACUGCUAUUUACCCAGCCUCUAAAUGAGCUUCUUAAUUAGCAGGUCCUAAUGAGUGGUGAAACUGCAAACCAUGGAGCAGGAUGUAUUGAAAAGGAGAAAGAGAUGUUCUUGUGCCCAGACCCCAAAUAAGAGACAGGAGAGAUUUUUCCAACAGAAGUCCAGAAGCUUCAGCACGAUGGAAAGAAAAAAUCCUCCACUUUCAGGGAGCAAAUGCUGCUUCAGCAAUGGAAAUAGAAGAGAUGUUGCAGAUGCUGCUGGGAGGAGCAAGUUUCAGGUCUGACCCAGCUCCCAUCCUUGCCAAAGUGGGAUGAGGAAUUGCUGUGAGCUCCAGCACCUGGGAGAAGUCAAAAAAUCAAGUAUUACAGCAGAAAGAAACCACAUUUCAAGGAAAUAGGAUAUUAUUACAAUUUAUAUUGUAAAUAAUAUGUUGCAUGAAUGCCUGGAUGAAUUGUUAACUCCUGGAAUUUACUGCUACAGGACACAAGUGGCUCUGGUAGGACUCUUAAAAAUGUAACUGUGGGUGUGGGUUAUUGAAGCCCUUGUGUCUCUACAAGCCAGAUUUAUUUAAACAUUUCUACACCUGCACAAUUAUAAAGUGUUAAUUAACAAAGAGUAAAUCUGGAGGGUGUGUGUUUUGCGUGGGCCUGGUUUUUGGCUUCUUGGGUUUGUUGGGCAGUACCUCCAGGUGCUGCACCAUGGAAAUUUGGCUUUCACUCCCCAAAUUUAUUCCUUGUUUGAGUUUUCCUAAUACAACCUGAUGCUGCAGCUUGGUUCCUGCUGGUCAGGAGGGAAGGUGUGAGGAAGGUCAGGACAGCUAUGGGAUCAGCACCACUGGAAGUGUUCAAAAGGUGUGUGGAGGUGGCACCUGGGGACGUGGCUUAGCAGUGCUGGGUUAAUGGUUGGAUUUGAUGAUCUUGGGGGUCUUUUCCAAUUUACUUUUUC